Molecule: transfer RNA, 71 nt
Filed under: Cordylochernes scorpioides
Lineage: Eukaryota; Metazoa; Arthropoda; Arachnida; Pseudoscorpiones; Chernetidae
Description: tRNA-Gly
Source: RNAcentral
UGCAUCGGCUGGGAAUCGAACCCUGGCCGCCCGCGUGGCAGGCGAGCAUUCUACCACUGAACCACCGAUGC